CGAUUCUUAUUGUGUAUGUAGAUGAUAUCAUCUUGACAGGUGUCACACCCCAAAUAUAUACAGACAACCAUAAUCCAACACGUAUGUUCUAAGGUUAUAAAUACAUCUAUAGGCCAUUUCAAAAGUUAUACAAGACAGGACCCCCAAAAUACAACACAAUAGAGUGUAAGCUCAAACCAAUAGCCCACAAAAUAACCCUACAGGUCGUCAUCCAUGUACAUUGAUCUUUGGAAUCCCGUAAGAGCUCCACAACUAGUCGUGCCCUCUACAUAGUUCCAUGCUCACCUACAAUGCAAGAACUACAUAAGCCAAUGCUUAGUAAGCAAGAAUCAUGCAUGUCAUGAGUAUGAAUAACAAGGAUAUGUGACACCAUGUCAUUUACUUUAAACAUCAUGCUAAAGAUGCAUCAUAUUCCAAUAUUCAUCAAAGUCGACUCAAAAUUAUUUCAUUUGAAAUCUUUCAUUUCAUUGGGCCCUUGACCCACCUACUAUGCACCGGAUAGAGCUCUGCAUAAUAUCAAUAUCAAUAAUCAAGUGGCCAAUAUGAAAUCAACACCGGCGAGUGGACCAUCCUCUCGUGACCGCUAGAGGCCCAUCCCCUAACUACCCCUAUGAUCACCCAAGAAGUCUCCCACCCGGCAGCGCCAAUAAUCAUAACAAGGGCAUAGUCGAGUGGUCCGCCCUCCCGUGAUCACCAAAGGUCCAUCCCCUGUCUACCUUUGCAAUCACCCAGGAAGUAUCACCCGCGAUGCCAAACAUAUCACAUAAGCAUGCCCACAUGCCUCGGUGCCCUAGUAGUGGUCAAUAAAACAUUUAUAAAGAAAACUUACUUUGAAAUCAUGUUUCGCAUGCAAAGUUUUCAACCAUGAUCAUAUGUUGUGCAUGCCAACAAAAAUGCUCCUGAAUGACAUGCUUAAUGGAAGUUGAUGUCAAUGUAUUUUGCAAUCGCAUACUCAAUGAUCAUAAUCAUCAUAUAGGGUACAACGAGCUUUCUUAUCAAAGUAUGAAAAUAUCCUAACAUCACUAUACCACAAAUGUUAGGUUCUUGCAUCGUAGUUGCAAAAUGGAUUUUUACUUACCUUUUUGCCCUUGUGUGUGCACAAGCUCUUACG
Molecule: long non-coding RNA, 1111 nt
Filed under: Olea europaea subsp. europaea
Lineage: Eukaryota; Viridiplantae; Streptophyta; Magnoliopsida; Lamiales; Oleaceae
Source: RNAcentral